This is a long non-coding RNA of Cervus elaphus (red deer), 281 nucleotides long. RefSeq lists it as uncharacterized. Lineage: Eukaryota; Metazoa; Chordata; Mammalia; Artiodactyla; Cervidae. The transcript has 3 exons. The record is from RefSeq and is a predicted model, not a curated record.
GGUGCCUUGGGCGGAAGGAAGAGCCGCGACGAAUUAACUGUAAAGACACAUGUUGAUGACGGUCGAAUUGCAGUAUAGAAGGAGUCUACAUGUCCAAACCGCUGUGUGGAGCGGGACUUCCCUGAGGACCAACACCUGACUGUGAGACCCUGCCCACUCCAGCUAAGAUGGAUCUUCAUCACAUGCUUACAGAAGUAUUGCAAGCCUAAUCCUGGGGAUUCUAACCGAGAAGCAGACAGACUCCAGGUCCAAGGUGAACUAACACAGGGCGUGGAGGAAGA